UGGGGAAUUUUGGACAAUGGGCGAAAGCCUGAUCCAGCAAUGCCGCGUGUGUGAAGAAGGCCUUCGGGUUGUAAAGCACUUUUGUCCGGAAAGAAAUCCUCUGGGUUAAUACCUCUGGGGGAUGACGGUACCGGAAGAAUAAGCACCGGCUAACUACGUGCCAGCAGCCGUGGUAAUACGUAGGGUGCAAGCGUUAAUCGGAAUUACUGGGCGUAAAGCGUGCGCAGGCGGUUUUGUAAGACGGAUGUGAAAUCCCCGGGCUUAACCUGGGAACUGCAUUCGUGACUGCAAGGCUAGAGUAUGGCAGAGGGGGGUAGAAUUCCACGUGUAGCAGUGAAAUGCGUAGAGAUGUGGAGGAAUACCGAUGGCGAAGGCAGCCCCCUGGGCCAAUACUGACGCUCAUGCACGAAAGCGUGGGA
Molecule: ribosomal RNA, 419 nt
Filed under: uncultured bacterium
Lineage: Bacteria
Description: partial 16S ribosomal RNA
Rfam family: Bacterial small subunit ribosomal RNA
Source: RNAcentral